RNAcentral lists this ribosomal RNA (507 nucleotides) under uncultured Entrophospora. Its description in RNAcentral is "SSU rRNA". It matches the Rfam family "Eukaryotic small subunit ribosomal RNA", at positions 569 to 1073 of the family's 1831-position model. The record is from RNAcentral. Lineage: Eukaryota; Fungi; Glomeromycota; Glomeromycetes; Entrophosporales; Entrophosporaceae.
AGCAGCCGCGGUAAUUCCAGCUCCAAUAGCGUAUAUUAAAGUUGUUGCAGUUAAAAAGCUCGUAGUUGAAUUUCGGGAUUGGCGCAUCGGUCGUGCCUCACGGGGUAUGAACUGGUGCAGUCAAUUUCUCACCUUCUGGAGAACCGCGAUGUCCUUAAUUGGAUGCCGCGGGGAACCAGGACCUUUACUUUGAAAAAUUGAGUGUUUAAAGCAGGCAUUUUUGCUUGAAUACAUUAGCAUGGAAUAAUAAAAUAGGACGGCAUGGUUCUAUUUUGUUGGUUUCUAGGACCACCGUAAUGGUUAAUAGGGAUAGUUGGGGCAUUAGUAUUCAAUUGUCAGAGGUGAAAUUCUUGGAUUUAUUGAAGACUAACUACUGCGAAAGCAAUUUGCCAAGGAUGUUUUCAUUAAUACAAGAACGAAAGUUAGGGGAUCGAAGACGAUCAGAUACCGUCGUAGUCUUAACCAUAAACUAUAGCCGACUAGGAAUCAGACGAUGUUAAUUUUAUG